This 404-nucleotide ribosomal RNA is filed under the name Fusobacteriota bacterium. Its description in RNAcentral is "Fusobacteria bacterium partial 16S ribosomal RNA". It matches the Rfam family "Bacterial small subunit ribosomal RNA", at positions 355 to 776 of the family's 1533-position model. Lineage: Bacteria; Fusobacteriati; Fusobacteriota. The record is from RNAcentral.
UGGGGAAUAUUGCACAAUGGAGGGAACUCUGAUGCAGCGACGCCGCGUGAGUGAUGAAGGAAUUCGUUUCGUAAAACUCUGUUCUAUGGGAAGAAAAGGACUGUACCAUAGGAGAAAGCUCCGGCUAAAUACGUGCCAGCAGCCGCGGUAAUACGUAUGGAGCGAGCGUUGUCCGGAAUUAUUGGGCGUAAAGGGUGCGCAGGCGGCUUUACAAGUUGGAUGUGAAAUAUUGUGGCUCAACCACAAACGUGCAUCCAAAACUGCAAAGCUUGAGUUAAGGAGAGGUAAGUGGAAUUCCUGGUGUGGCGGUGGAAUGCGUAGAUAUCAGGAGGAAUACCGGUGGCGAAGGCGACUUACUGGACUUAAACUGACGCUCAGGCACGAAAGCGUGGGGAGCAAACAGG